CAGUUCCAGCUGAAGCAGUCAGGACCUGCCCUUGUGCCGCCUUCACGGAGCCUGUCCAUCACAUGCACUGUCUCUGGGUUCUCAUUAACCAGCUGUGGUAUAAGCUGGCUUCGAUGGUCUCCAGGAAACGGAGAUAGUGGAAUUUUACAACUGUCCCAUAGGCCUAGAAAACCCAGUCAUCACCCCUGUUCCUCUUCUGCAUCCUUACCAAUACGUGAUCCCCAAUCCUUACCCACUAUUCAUCAAGUAUAUUAUAUUUUGCUACUGUUCCCCAUUUAUACAGGACUCGCCAGA
This is a non-coding RNA of Mus musculus (house mouse), 294 nucleotides long. The record is from the annotation of a RefSeq genome assembly. NCBI's taxonomy places the organism in Eukaryota, Metazoa, Chordata, Mammalia, Rodentia, Muridae.